Phoenicopterus ruber ruber is the source of this 276-nucleotide long non-coding RNA. It matches the Rfam family "SOX2 overlapping transcript exon 3". From Rfam's summary of the family: SOX2 overlapping transcript (SOX2OT) is a long non-coding RNA, containing at least 5 exons. The record is from Rfam. Lineage: Eukaryota; Metazoa; Chordata; Aves; Phoenicopteriformes; Phoenicopteridae.
GUUAAAAGCUAGGGCUAGGACUUGGAGGAUGUGUAGGCAAACGGAAGAAGAGCCGGGGGAAGAAAAACCGAAAUGGAUUCAUUCUCUGUCCUGGAUGGAGGAGGAGAGGAGAAGAGAAGGGGACGUGUGAGCUUCCUUCAACUGCCUCUGUCCGGUGAAAGAAAAAUUGCGCCCACCCCCGGGGGCCUGGGGGGGGCUCAGGAGUCCGGGCGGACUUUCGCUUUAAGCUGCCAAUCAAACCGCUAACUAGCCACCACCCUGCUCUGGCACCGACAU